This 809-nucleotide ribosomal RNA is filed under the name uncultured bacterium. RNAcentral describes it as "bacterial SSU rRNA". It matches the Rfam family "Bacterial small subunit ribosomal RNA", at positions 1 to 808 of the family's 1533-position model. The record is from RNAcentral.
UUAGAGUUUGAUCCUGGCUCAGGAUGAACUCUAGCUACAGGCUUAACACAUGCAAGUCGAGGGGCAGCACUAGGUAGCGAUACUGAGGUGGCGACCGGCGCACGGGUGCGUAACGCGUAUCCAACCUUCCCGUUACUCUUGGAUAGCCUUCCGAAAGGGAGAUUAAUACAGGAUGGUAUUCAAAUUCCGCAUGUUAUUUGAAUUAAAGAUUUAUCGGUAACGGAUGGGGAUGCGUGACAUUAGAUAGUAGGCGGGGUAACGGCCCACCUAGUCUACGAUGUCUAGGGGUUCUGAGAGGAAGGUCCCCCACACUGGAACUGAGACACGGUCCAGACUCCUACGGGAGGCAGCAGUGAGGAAUAUUGGUCAAUGGUCGGAAGACUGAACCAGCCAAGUAGCGUGAAGGAAGAAGGUUCUAUGGAUUGUAAACUUCUUUUAUACGGGAAUAAAACACACCACGUGUGGUGUCUUGUAUGUACCGUAUGAAUAAGCAUCGGCUAACUCCGUGCCAGCAGCCGCGGUAAUACGGAGGAUGCGAGCGUUAUCCGGAUUUAUUGGGUUUAAAGGGAGCGUAGACGGGGGAUUAAGUCAGUUGUGAAAGGCUGCGGCUCAACCGCAGCACUGCAGUUGAUACUGGUUCCCUUGAGUGCGGUUGAGGUGUAUGGAAUUCGUGGUGUAGCGGUGAAAUGCUUAGAUAUCAAGAAGAAGACUCGUGGCGAAGGCGGGUUCCUGGACAUUAACUGACGCUGAGGUACGAAGGCCAGGGUAGCGAAAGGGAUUAGAUACCCCUGUAGUCCUGGCAGUAAACG